GUUAACUCCUGCAGUCCCAUAAGUGGGUGCAUGCGCUCAUAUUGGUAUUUCUGUUUGGGUCUCGGAGAGGGCAUGAGCAUGUUCAAGGCAUCACAUGGCUGCACGGUCAUCUAGAGCUUGCACUUCCACAAAACCACUCUCCACAAUAAACAGUUCAAUGGUCAGUUGAUUUUUGUAAAGAACACAGGUUGAGUAACAGUUUAGUGAGCUUUGUUGAAUCAAGCAGAAUUUGUAUGACAUUUCAGCCUUCCAGUUUAAAGAGACACUGUAGGGACUGUAUCUGCUUCAUCUCAUUAAACUGGUUAUAGUAUCUGGAGGUCCCCUGGUGCCAUAAUUUCAUUCAGCAUUAAACAGUUCUUAAUGUUAUGUUUCAAUGCUAAAUGAGAGUCCCCGGCUGCCCAUCCGCUGCUUUGGCUAAUGAGUAAGUAUUAGCAUGAGCAGAAAAAGGCAGCUGUGAUUGGCUGAUAGUGUCAGCUGACUGCUUUUAGCCUAUCAGAGCUCCAACUGACUGUAUUAAGAGUAUGGCUACAAGGAAGUGUGUAAUCUCUACCUUAGCCACACCUCCAGAAGGGGCCGGACUGUGGGUGUCCAGGAAAUCUUAUUUAGUGUUAAACUGCUCUAACAUGGUUUAAAACUGAAUGGAGGGGCAGUACCAGGGGACACUAUAACCAAUGCAAUAAGAUUAAUGGCUAUAGUGACUACAGUGUCCCUUUAAGAAUGUGUGUACCUACUAAAAAAUAACCACGGCAGUUUCCCUAUUUAAAUUUACAUCUUCCAUCGUCUUUUUUCAUAGGAACCCUGGCUAGGCUAAUGUGGCCUGAAAGGCACAAGGCUGGGUACAUAGAAGAUGGUUUUAGAAAGUUGAACAUAAUGUAGUUUGGGUAAAAGUGAAUGAUAUGCCAAUAAGCAAAUUUACCGUUGGGGAAGGAACUGUUGGAACAGUAGGCCCAGUAGUGAAAGAGUUAAAAUGACAGAACCUUAUGUCCAAGGAGUAGGUUGGUGGGAUUUUUGAGUCCAGGUCAACUAAAUUAUGCAGAGUUAGAAUGGAUAUGAUUCACAUUGGCAUCCUAGAUCAGGCUGUGCAUCUUGGGAAAUGUGUCUCCGAAAGAUCGGAGUUCCCAAACUAAGUCAGUAAACCUAGAAAGACUAUUGUAAUGCAGAAGAUAUAAGGUAAGGUUAUAAACAUUCCGUAAAAAGCUUAUUACAAUUGAAUAGGCAGUGAAAUGGUGUAUGCUUCUACAUGCAAGAUUUUUUUUCCCUGCUUUUUACUGUUUAGUAAACAUGUACACUUGUGAUCUUGUUAAAUAAAAGUGAGACUUAUAGUGAUAUACUGGAGGUUAUGGAAGAGGAACAUCCUCUGAGAAAGUCCACCAUCUACUAUAUGCUCCUGGACCAGGCUUGGCCAAUUGAUGGGAUACGUAGUUCAGGCACAAAACUAUAAUUUGUCUACUUGGCGGCAUCCGGAGUUGAAUUAUUUAAAACAAGUAUAUAUAUUAAUGUGUUCACUUUCAUAUUUGUUUAACCCUGCUGGACGCCAGUAACUGGUUUAUUGGAAUCAUGUGAUAUUCCUGAACUCUGUGUUUCACCGAAGACGUAUCUAGCAAAUUAAACAAUAACAACAACAACAAAAUCUGAAAACCUCAUAUAGUGAGGAGUAAGAGGAAUCGAAAUGUUGAUGAAUGUAAGCGGAGUGGCACAAUUGUAUAUUAUCAAUGUUGACAAUACAAAUUUGUAUUCUACAAGAGACUUGAACUGAUGACCAAUGGGACUGUGCUCUAAGUGAGCCAACAUGGCUGAAGAAGGUCAUGUGAUCUGCGGCACUCUGCAGGAUAAGAGACCUAAGGAUGCUUGUAGUCGAAAGAUUGUCUUCAAUAUAGACUAGCUACUGCCCCCUGGUGGUAGUAUGGAGACGGAGAUAUCUUAAAAGACUGCUUCUAUUGAAAGAAGUAGAUUCUGAUUAACUGACCGAAUAUGGCCAUAACACUGCCUUAUAUGUAGCUCUGUUUGGAAUCAACAUAUUUUUGUACUUGUAAACCUAAAAUUGUAUAAGGCACACAUAUGAGAACAGUUAUAUAUGACACACACAACAUACAGUGUAAACUGCAACGUGCUUAAUAAACAGCUUUCAAAGUA
This is a long non-coding RNA of Pelobates fuscus (common spadefoot toad), 2133 nucleotides long. RefSeq lists it as uncharacterized. The record is from RefSeq and is a predicted model, not a curated record. NCBI's taxonomy places the organism in Eukaryota, Metazoa, Chordata, Amphibia, Anura, Pelobatidae. The transcript has 2 exons.